AUCACCGAAAAAAGCCUUUGGGGGCUGA
This 28-nucleotide small RNA is filed under the name Bombyx mori (domestic silkworm). RNAcentral describes it as "ovarian small RNA-12413". The record is from RNAcentral. Lineage: Eukaryota; Metazoa; Arthropoda; Insecta; Lepidoptera; Bombycidae.